UAAUUGUUACCUUUGUAGCAAACGCAAUGCAUUCAGCGCGCUUCUUUUCGAAACAUUCUGAGAAUGUCUGCAUAAUGAGGCAGGCACACCAUUCGCUUUCUUGGAGCAUUUGAUUCCAGACACCCUCAACUAAUGAAUGUCACAACCAAUGUGUGGUGGGGUUCCACCGAAGAAACUUUAAUGUACACGACUCAAGAUUAUGCGUGUGGUGUUGUAAAGGUGAAGUUAUUAAAUCAAGGUGGUGGGGUUCAUUAUGAACUCCGCGUAAGAAAUCGUUCAGUGGAAUGUCCUGAUAAUCAGUGCAAAAAAUACUACCGUAAGGCUACCUUGAAGUGGCGCCGGAAAACCAUUUACAGCCCAGAAUGCCAACAUAUGCUUGUCACCAAAAGGAGCAAACUUCGUUAAAGCGUUCCUUACAUCAGCCUUAUGUUUCAUGGUAAAUGUCUUACACACAUAAACGUUUCGUAUUACAAACGAAA
RNAcentral lists this long non-coding RNA (479 nucleotides) under Rhipicephalus microplus (southern cattle tick). RNAcentral's name for it is "uncharacterized LOC119185316, transcript variant X2". Lineage: Eukaryota; Metazoa; Arthropoda; Arachnida; Ixodida; Ixodidae. The record is from RNAcentral.